Molecule: microRNA precursor, 89 nt
Filed under: Canis lupus familiaris (dog)
Lineage: Eukaryota; Metazoa; Chordata; Mammalia; Carnivora; Canidae
Also listed under: 1 other name
Description: mir-8799 microRNA precursor family
Rfam family: mir-8799 microRNA precursor family
Source: Rfam by way of RNAcentral
GGGGGGAGGCCGGAUCCCGUGCUGUGUCCUGGCGCCCUGUGCUCCUGGGACUGCGCUGUUGGAUUCGCGCUCCCGCCCCGCAGCCCCCU